This 465-nucleotide ribosomal RNA is filed under the name uncultured bacterium. RNAcentral describes it as "partial 16S ribosomal RNA". It matches the Rfam family "Bacterial small subunit ribosomal RNA", at positions 338 to 795 of the family's 1533-position model. The record is from RNAcentral.
CCUACGGGUGGCAGCAGUGGGGAAUAUUGCGCAAUGGGCGAAAGCCUGACGCAGCGACGCCGCGUGAGGGAUGAAGGUCUUCGGAUCGUAAACCUCUGUCAGCGGGGAAGAACGGUCACUGUGCUAAUCAGCAGUGAAUUGACGGUACCUGCAAAGGAAGCACCGGCUAACUCCGUGCCAGCCGCCGCGGUAAUACGGAGGGUGCGAGCGUUAAUCGGAAUUACUGGGCGUAAAGCGCUCGUAGGCGGUAUGGCAAGUCAAGGGUGAAAUCCCCGCGCUCAACGUGGGAACUGCCUUUGAAACUGGCAAACUGGAGUGUGUGCGAGGAUAGUGGAAUUCCAGGUGUAGGAGUGAAAUCCGGAGAUAUCAGGAGGAACAUCAGUGGCGAAGGCGACUAUCUGGCACAUAACUGACGCUGAGGAGCGAAAGCGUGGGUAGCAAACAGGAUUAGAUACCCCGGUAGUC